CCCGUCUGGGGAGAGAAGGGAGGCGAUGGCUGAGGAAGGAAUGCUGGGAGGCCAACGUGGAGUGCUCGCACACAGGCAGCAAGAUGAAGACAUUGAGGCCCAGAGAGGCGGAAUCACUGGCUCCAGGUCCCACAGCUGGGAAGUUGCAAAGCUGAGAUUUACCUGGGCAAGUCCCUGGGCCUGAGCCCAUGACGCUGUGCUAUGCUGCUUCUCUAAGGGGCAGUGAUUGGUAUUCCAUGUCUCCAGAUAAAGAUUUUCACCUGUUGGAGGCUUUUAUAGUCUGGCUUACAAAAUGGGAAGAGUCAACCCAAACUUUCAGAAUUGUGCAAUGGAUACAAUUAGAUCGUGUACAUCAGAA
This is a non-coding RNA of Macaca mulatta (Rhesus monkey), 358 nucleotides long. The record is from RefSeq and is a predicted model, not a curated record. Lineage: Eukaryota; Metazoa; Chordata; Mammalia; Primates; Cercopithecidae.